Molecule: ribosomal RNA, 252 nt
Filed under: uncultured bacterium
Lineage: Bacteria
Description: partial 16S ribosomal RNA
Rfam family: Bacterial small subunit ribosomal RNA
Source: RNAcentral
UACGGAGGGGGCUAGCGUUGUUCGGAAUUACUGGGCGUAAAGCGCACGUAGGCGGCUUUGCAAGUUAGAGGUGAAAGCCCGGGGCUCAACUCCGGAAUUGCCUUUAAAACUGCAUCGCUAGAAUUGUGGAGAGGUAAGUGGAAUUCCGAGUGUAGAGGUGAAAUUCGUAGAUAUUCGGAGAACACCAGUGGCGAAGGCGACUUACUGGACACAUAUUGACGCUGAGGUGCGAAAGCGUGGGGAGCAAACGGG